This 45-nucleotide ribosomal RNA is filed under the name Agrostis stolonifera. RNAcentral's name for it is "partial 18S ribosomal RNA". The record is from RNAcentral. Lineage: Eukaryota; Viridiplantae; Streptophyta; Magnoliopsida; Poales; Poaceae.
UCGUACAAGGUUUCCGUAGGUGAACCUGCGGAAGGAUCAUUGUCG